AUUGAACGCUGGCGGCAGGCCUAACACAUGCAAGUCGAGCGGGUAACAUUUCUAGCUUGCUAGGAGGCGUCGAGCGGCGGACGGGUGAGUAACGCGUGAGAAUCUACCCAUGAGUGGGGGACAACCCGGGGGAAACUCGGGCUAAUACCGCAUACGCCCUACGGGGUAAAGCAGGGGACCUUCGGGCCUUGCGCUGAUGGAUGAGCUCGCGUCGGAUUAGCUUGUUGGUGAGGUAAAGGCUCACCAAGGCGACGAUCCGUAGCUGGUCUGAGAGGAUGAUCAGCCACACCGGGACUGAGACACGGCCCGGACUCCUACGGGAGGCAGCAGUGGGGAAUCUUGGACAAUGGGGGCAACCCUGAUCCAGCCAUGCCGCGUGUGUGAAGAAGGCCUUCGGGUUGUAAAGCACUUUCAGCAGGGAGGAAGGCUUGCCCCUAAUACGGGUGAGUACUUGACGUUACCUGCAGAAGAAGCACCGGCUAAUUUCGUG
This 490-nucleotide ribosomal RNA is filed under the name uncultured bacterium. RNAcentral describes it as "bacterial SSU rRNA". It matches the Rfam family "Bacterial small subunit ribosomal RNA", at positions 30 to 507 of the family's 1533-position model. The record is from RNAcentral.